AGGCCUAACACAUGCAAGUCGAACGGUAGCACAGAGAGCUUGCUCUCGGGUGACGAGUGGCGGACGGGUGAGUAAUGUCUGGGAAACUGCCCGAUGGAGGGGGAUAACUACUGGAAACGGUAGCUAAUACCGCAUAACGUCGCAAGACCAAAGAGGGGGACCUUAGGACCUCUUGCCAUCGGAUGUGCCCAGAUGGGAUUAGCUUGUAGGUGAGGUAACGGCUCACCUAGGCGACGAUCCCUAGCUGGUCUGAGAGGAUGACCAGCCACACUGGAACUGAGACACGGUCCAGACUCCUACGGGAGGCAGCAGUGGGGAAUAUUGCACAAUGGGCGCAAGCCUGAUGCAGCCAUGCCGCGUGUAUGAAGAAGGCCUUCGGGUUGUAAAGUACUUUCAGCGGGGAGGAAGGGAGUGAGGUUAAUAACCUUAUUCAUUGACGUUACCCGCAGAAGAAGCACCGGCUAACUCCGUGCCAGCAGCCGCGGUAAUACGGAGGGUGCAAGCGUUAAUCGGAAUUACUGGGCGUAAAGCGCACGCAGGCGGUCUGUCAAGUCGGAUGUGAAAUCCCCGGGCUCAACCUGGGAACUGCAUUCGAAACUGGCAGGCUGGAGUCUUGUAGAGGGGGGUAGAAUUCCAGGUGUAGCGGUGAAAUGCGUAGAGAUCUGGAGGAA
This 671-nucleotide ribosomal RNA is filed under the name uncultured Pseudomonadota bacterium. Its description in RNAcentral is "bacterial SSU rRNA". It matches the Rfam family "Bacterial small subunit ribosomal RNA", at positions 44 to 706 of the family's 1533-position model. Lineage: Bacteria; Pseudomonadati; Pseudomonadota. The record is from RNAcentral.